UACGGGGGGGGGCAAGCGUUGUUCGGAAUUACUGGGCGUAAAGGGCUCGUAGGCGGCCAACUAAGUCAGACGUGAAAUCCCUCGGCUUAACCGGGGAACUGCAUCUGAUACUGGAUGGCUUGAGUUCGGGAGAGGGAUGCGGAAUUCCAGGUGUAGCGGUGAAAUGCGUAGAUAUCGGAAGGAACACCCGUGGCGAAAGCGGCUCCUCGUGGAC
Molecule: ribosomal RNA, 214 nt
Filed under: uncultured bacterium
Lineage: Bacteria
Description: partial 16S ribosomal RNA
Rfam family: Bacterial small subunit ribosomal RNA
Source: RNAcentral